Molecule: long non-coding RNA, 98 nt
Organism: Corapipo altera (White-ruffed manakin)
Lineage: Eukaryota; Metazoa; Chordata; Aves; Passeriformes; Pipridae
Exons: 3
Source: RefSeq, a predicted model, not a curated record
UGGGGAAGUGAUGCAAGGACCAUUUCUUGAUGAUGGAGGUGCACCGGGCCUCCAGGGAAAAAAGCUACUGAUAUCUCAAGACAGUGUUUUACAUGGAG